Molecule: ribosomal RNA, 495 nt
Filed under: Staphylococcus cohnii
Lineage: Bacteria; Bacillati; Bacillota; Bacilli; Caryophanales; Staphylococcaceae
Description: bacterial SSU rRNA
Rfam family: Bacterial small subunit ribosomal RNA
Source: RNAcentral
CUAUACAUGCAGUCGAGCGAACAGAUAAGGAGCUUGCUCCUUUGACGUUAGCGGCGGACGGGUGAGUAACACGUGGGUAACCUACCUAUAAGACUGGAAUAACUCCGGGAAACCGGGGCUAAUGCCGGAUAACAUUUAGAACCGCAUGGUUCUAAAGUGAAAGAUGGUUUUGCUAUCACUUAUAGAUGGACCCGCGCCGUAUUAGCUAGUUGGUAAGGUAACGGCUUACCAAGGCAACGAUACGUAGCCGACCUGAGAGGGUGAUCGGCCACACUGGAACUGAGACACGGUCCAGACUCCUACGGGAGGCAGCAGUAGGGAAUCUUCCGCAAUGGGCGAAAGCCUGACGGAGCAACGCCGCGUGAGUGAUGAAGGUCUUCGGAUCGUAAAACUCUGUUAUUAGGGAAGAACAAAUGUGUAAGUAACUGUGCACGUCUUGACGGUACCUAAUCAGAAAGCCACGGCUAACUACGUGCCAGCAGCGGCCGGUAAUAA